Molecule: long non-coding RNA, 266 nt
Filed under: Lathyrus oleraceus (garden pea)
Lineage: Eukaryota; Viridiplantae; Streptophyta; Magnoliopsida; Fabales; Fabaceae
Description: Pisum sativum (pea) long non-coding RNA (PSAT_LNC012880)
Source: RNAcentral
UUGAAGUGAGUUUUCAUUAAAGAAAAACAAGAGAAAUGGUGGAGUUAUAUAGUAAGAAAGAAUGAAGGUGGAGAAAGGGGUCCAUAAAUUCUAAAAAAGCAUGUUAGGCAAGGAUUUGACUAAGAAUUUCAUGAGAAAAAAUAUUUAAGUUUUUGGAUUUUUAUUUUAUUUUUAUGAUUAUGUGGUCGGUUGGGAAAUAAGUUAAGAGUAGGGACUUAUUUUUUUGGUUGCGGCUGUGUGAGUGUAUGAAAAAAAUGAGAGAGAAG